AUCCAGCUGAUGAGUGCGUAAUAGGACGAAACACGCGUCCUACAU
Molecule: non-coding RNA, 45 nt
Filed under: Schistosoma haematobium
Lineage: Eukaryota; Metazoa; Platyhelminthes; Trematoda; Strigeidida; Schistosomatidae
Source: RNAcentral